CAUGUUUAUAACUCUCUUUAAUAGUCAUGCAAUUAAAAACCAAAUCCUCAUCAUUGUGUUGGAAGGUACCCUAAGACACACAUAAACACACAAAAACAACUAUUUUUUUUUGGUUUUUCAAAACAAUUUUUCAAAUUUUUAUGAGAUUUUCGGAUUUUUAUGUCAAAACACACUAAAACACUCCAAAACAACUUAAAAACAUUUAAAAAUAGCAAGGAACAACACUAGGAGUAAUGGGUGAUAAACUCCUACGAAUUUUAUGCAAAACAACUUGGUUACCCCCCCCACACUUAAAUCAAACAUUGUCCUCAAUGUUUCAAGCAUAAACUCACACAAAAACAAGCAAACAAACAAACAACGAAUAAGCAUGACAAGUAUAGUAAAGUAAAAGCCAGACAAAGUAGAGUUUAAGAACGCAAAUCUGGUUUUAGAGAUAGAUGAUCUUGUUGAUUUCCACAGCUUUGAUCUCAAACUGGUUUGGAAUUCUGAGUGAGAGAUAUAAGAGUUCCUUGGUUGUGCAGUCUACAUUCUUCUCUGCUUGUUUCUUUUGCACGGCAGGCAGGCACGAGGUAGAUGUGAUGGUCUGUUUCUUUCUUCAAUCUUUCCAAGUGCCCACCAUUUGCUUUCUUUCUCCUUGUCCCUAGCUAAGGAUGAAUUAGCAAAUUGUCUCCACAUGCUUCGAGGUAUCAUUUU
RNAcentral lists this long non-coding RNA (693 nucleotides) under Malus domestica (apple). Its description in RNAcentral is "long non-coding RNA (MDOM_LNC013867)". The record is from RNAcentral. Lineage: Eukaryota; Viridiplantae; Streptophyta; Magnoliopsida; Rosales; Rosaceae.